ACGGGGAGGUGGAGUUCUCGCGGUACACGAAGCCUUCCUUGCUGAACUCGAGGCAGGGCACCCAGUUGUUGCGCAGCAGGUAGUCCACCUGCUUCAGCAGCUGCUCCUCCGUCAGCGGCGGCAGGUACGACAGCGUCUCGAACUUCUUGUUCCCGUACGCCGGCCACACCUGCAAAUUAAUGCAUGCAUCGAUCGAUGUACGUGUUUGUGGUUGCAUUUCGCUAGCUCUGCUGCAAAGAAUGAAUGAAGAUGGCCGGCCGGAGCCAAGAACGAAAGGCCAACUAGCUCUUGUGUUAAUUAUGUUGUUAUUACCUGCAUGCACCGGAUCCUGCCGCCGUUGCUGACUUUGGCGAGGCUGGUGGUGGAGCGGCGGGCGACGGGGAGGGUGGCGGUGGACUUGAGACCCUGGAACGGAGCGACGGCGGUGGCGGACGAGGCCAUCACGGUGGGCGCCAUUGCUGCUGCUAUGUAGUACUA
Molecule: long non-coding RNA, 477 nt
Filed under: Sorghum bicolor (sorghum)
Lineage: Eukaryota; Viridiplantae; Streptophyta; Magnoliopsida; Poales; Poaceae
Description: long non-coding RNA (SBIC_LNC007590)
Source: RNAcentral